UACGAAGGGGGCUAGCGUUGUUCGGAAUUACUGGGCGUAAAGGGCGCGUAGGCGGCGUGUCAAGUCAGGCGUGAAAGCCCCGGGCUCAACCUGGGAACCGCGCUUGAGACUGGCAUGCUCGAGUUCGGGAGAGGAUGGUGGAAUUCCCAGUGUAGAGGUGAAAUGCGUAGAUAUCUGGAGGAACACCGGUGGCGAAGGCGACAUCCUGGACCGGUAUUGACGCUGAGGCGCGAAAGCCAGGGGAGCAAACGGG
Molecule: ribosomal RNA, 253 nt
Filed under: uncultured bacterium
Lineage: Bacteria
Description: partial 16S ribosomal RNA
Rfam family: Bacterial small subunit ribosomal RNA
Source: RNAcentral